UCUCGAUUGGUCUAGUGGUGAGGAUACCUGCUUGUCAUUCAAGGAACUAGAAUUCACGAUAGUGGGUCCUGGAGAACCUGAGAACAGACCGCAGGUGGCCGGGGUUCGAUUCCCCGAUCGAGAG
Non-coding RNA from Xylaria palmicola, 124 nucleotides. The record is from the annotation of a GenBank genome assembly. NCBI's taxonomy places the organism in Eukaryota, Fungi, Ascomycota, Sordariomycetes, Xylariales, Xylariaceae.